This 251-nucleotide ribosomal RNA is filed under the name uncultured prokaryote. RNAcentral describes it as "partial 16S rRNA". It matches the Rfam family "Bacterial small subunit ribosomal RNA", at positions 525 to 775 of the family's 1533-position model. The record is from RNAcentral.
ACGUAGGGGGCGAGCGUUGUCCGGAAUUAUUGGGCGUAAAGGGUGCGUAGGCGGCUUGGUAAGUCAGAAGUGAAACUCCUGCGUUUAAGGUGGGAAGUGCUUUGGAUACUGUCGGGCUUGAGUGCAGGAGAGGUAAGUGGAAUUCCCGGUGUAGCGGUGAAAUGCGUAGAGAUCGGAAGGAACACCAGUGGCGAAGGCGACUUACUGGACUGUAACUGACGCUGAGGCGCGAAAGUGUGGGGAGCAAACAG